AAAGCGAAUAGUGAAAUCUGGGGGCUCAACCUCACAGGCUAUUAUUCGAACUCACAAACUCGAGAGUGGUAGAGGUAACUGGAAUUUCUAGUGUAGGAGUGAAAUCCGUAGAUAUUAGAAGGAACACCAAUGGCGUAGGCAGGUUACUGGACCAUUUCUGACACUGAGGCACGAAAGCGUGGGGAGCGAACCGGAUUAGAUACCCGGGUAGUCCACGCCGUAAACUAUGGAUACUA
RNAcentral lists this ribosomal RNA (236 nucleotides) under uncultured Candidatus Saccharibacteria bacterium. RNAcentral's name for it is "partial 16S ribosomal RNA". It matches the Rfam family "Bacterial small subunit ribosomal RNA", at positions 584 to 818 of the family's 1533-position model. Lineage: Bacteria; Candidatus Saccharimonadota. The record is from RNAcentral.